This 433-nucleotide ribosomal RNA is filed under the name uncultured bacterium. RNAcentral describes it as "partial 16S ribosomal RNA". It matches the Rfam family "Bacterial small subunit ribosomal RNA", at positions 29 to 507 of the family's 1533-position model. The record is from RNAcentral.
AACGAACGCUGGCGGCAUGCCUAACACAUGCAAGUCGAACGAGACCUUCGGGUCUAGUGGCGCACGGGUGCGUAACGCGUGGGAACCUGCCCUUAGGUUCGGAAUAACUCCCCGAAAGGGGUGCUAAUACCGGAUAAUGUCUUCGGACCAAAGAUUUCUCGCCUUUGGAUGGGCCCGCGUUGGAUUAGCUAGUUGGUAGGGUAAAAGCCUACCAAGGCGACGAUCCAUAGCUGGUCUGAGAGGAUGAUCAGCCACACUGGGAAUGAGACACGGCCCAGACUCCUACGGGAGGCAGCAGUGGGGAAUAUUGGACAAUGGGCGAAAGCCUGAUCCAGCAAUGCCGCGUGAGUGAUGAAGGCCUUAGGGUUGUAAAGCUCUUUUACCCGGGAUGAUAAUGACAGUACCGGGAGAAUAAGCACCGGCUAACUACGUG